GUGUAGGUCGGGCUAGCUGCGGUGGUAGUACUGAGGGUGUGGGGGUUAAGUGGAUUUACGGGGCUUAAAUGGUGGGUAGGCGGCUGAUUAAGUCGGAUGGGAAAUCCGUGAGCUUAACUUAGGAAUUGCAUUCGAUACUGGUCAGCUAGAGUAUGGGAGAGGAUGGUAGAAUUCCAGGUGUAGCGGUGAAAUGCGUAGAGAUCUGGAGGAAUACCGAUGGCGAAGGCAGCCAUCUGGCCUAAUACUGACGCUGAGGUACGAAAGCAUGGGGAGCAAACAGGAUUAGAUACCCCAGUAGUC
This 300-nucleotide ribosomal RNA is filed under the name uncultured Pyrobaculum sp. Its description in RNAcentral is "bacterial SSU rRNA". It matches the Rfam family "Bacterial small subunit ribosomal RNA", at positions 495 to 795 of the family's 1533-position model. The record is from RNAcentral. Lineage: Archaea; Thermoproteati; Thermoproteota; Thermoprotei; Thermoproteales; Thermoproteaceae.